RNAcentral lists this ribosomal RNA (467 nucleotides) under uncultured bacterium. RNAcentral's name for it is "partial 16S ribosomal RNA". It matches the Rfam family "Bacterial small subunit ribosomal RNA", at positions 28 to 506 of the family's 1533-position model. The record is from RNAcentral.
GACGAACGCUGGCGGCGUGCUUAACACAUGCAAGUCGAACGGAAAGGCCCUGCUUUUGUGGGGUGCUCGAGUGGCGAACGGGUGAGUAACACGCGAGUAACCUGCCCUUGACUUUGGGAUAACUUCAGGAAACUGGGGCUAAUACCGGAUAGGAGCUCCUGCUGCAUGGUGGGGGUUGGAAAGUUUCGGCGGUUGGGGAUGGACUCGCGGCUUAUCAGCUUGUUGGUGGGGUAGUGGCUUACCAAGGCUUUGACGGGUAGCCGGCCUGAGAGGGUGACCGGCCACAUUGGGACUGAGAUACGGCCCAGACUCCUACGGGAGGCAGCAGUGGGGAAUAUUGCACAAUGGGCGGAAGCCUGAUGCAGCAACGCCGCGUGCGGGAUGACGGCCUUCGGGUUGUAAACCGCUUUCGCCUGUGACGAAGCGUGAGUGACGGGAAUGGGGAAAGAAGCACCGGCUAACUACGU